AAUAAAAGCAACACAAAAAUAAAAUUUAAUAUACCCUCAACAAAAAAAGCCAAGUAACAAAAGCAUAAAACAAUAAUACUGAAAAGGAAAAACCAAACACUAAAUAAGCCGACUUAAAACGUCGUACCUUGUGUAUCAUAGACUAUCAAAAUAGAAUUUAUAAAAAAUAUUCCCGAAAGUAAACGAGCUAGGCCUAUUCCGCGAAGAACCAAAACAUAAAUGUUAAAAAAUUUAUAAAAGAAAUAAACCUAGAAGUAAAAUGCUACCCGCGUUUACAGAUAGCUGGUUAUUUCUAAAAAGUAUAAUAGUACUACCUCAAAAAAUGAGAACGAUUGACUUCAGGACAAGCUGAAGUCAAAAAAAGAAAUGUAAUAAAAAACGCAAAAAUCCUUCUAAGCUUUAAAGUAGCCAAGAAAAAAAACUUCCCUCAAAAUAAAUUAAAUAAACAAAUCAUACUGUCUAAAACAAUCAGAAUUUAUAAGAAAUAAUAAAGAUAAACAUAAUACCUUUAAAAAAAAUGAAUAGUAUAAAUACUCUUAAAAUAACUGCAAUAAAAACUUAAAUAAAAUAAAUAAAAGAACUCAGCAAAACCAAAGCAACGACUGUUUAAUAAAAACAUAGCUUUUUGCAAAACCAUAAAAAGUAACGUCUGCCCAGUGACUGAGGAGUUCAACGGCCGCUUCAUUUGUGCUAAGGUAGCAUAAUCAUUUGUCUUUUCAUUAGAGACCAGCAUGAAUGGCAUAACGAAGCUUUACUGUCUCUAUUUAUUAAAAGAAAAUUGAUAAAAAAGUGAAAAUACUUUUAUAUUAAUGAAGGACAGAAAGACCCUAUAGAGCUUUAAUACAAUCAAGGAAAAAAAUUUUCAAAACAUAAAAACCACCACAAUUACUUGAAUAUUUUUAUUGGGGCAAUAAAAUAAAAAUUAAACACUAAAAUUUGUCAUAACAAACAAAAUAAACCUCAAAGAGAACACAUAUAAGCUACCUUAGGGAUAACAGCGUUAUCUUACCAAAGAGACCUAAUCGAAGGUAAGGUUUGCGACCUCGAUGUUGGACUAAGAAAACAAAAAGAUGCAGAAGUCUUUAAUAGUUGGCCUGUUCGGCCAAUAAUAUCUUACAUGAUCUGAGUUUAGGUCGGCGCAAGCUAGUCCGGUUCUUAUCCUCAUUAAAACAAAAACAAACUUUAUUCACAUUACGAAAGGAACUAAAUAAAGAGUUAUACUCAAAUAACAAUAAAAAAUAACAACAAAACUCAAUAA
This 1258-nucleotide ribosomal RNA is filed under the name unidentified. Its description in RNAcentral is "Cupuladria biporosa 16S ribosomal RNA". The stretch from base 807 to 1168 matches the Rfam family "Bacterial large subunit ribosomal RNA", at positions 2070 to 2650 of the family's 2925-position model. The record is from RNAcentral.